UACGUAGGGUGCGAGCGUUGUCCGGAAUUAUUGGGCGUAAAGGGCUCGUAGGCGGUUUGUCGCGUCGGGAGUGAAAACACACAGCUUAACUGUGUGCUUGCUUCCAAUACGGGCAGACUAGAGGUAUGCAGGGGAGAACGGAAUCCCUGGUGUAGCGGUGAAAUGCGCAGAUAUCAGGAGGAACACCGGUGGCGAAGGCGGUUCUCUGGGCAUUACCUGACGCUGAGGAGCGAAAGUGUGGGGAGCGAACAGG
Molecule: ribosomal RNA, 253 nt
Filed under: uncultured bacterium
Lineage: Bacteria
Description: partial 16S ribosomal RNA
Rfam family: Bacterial small subunit ribosomal RNA
Source: RNAcentral